RNAcentral lists this ribosomal RNA (433 nucleotides) under uncultured bacterium. RNAcentral's name for it is "partial 16S ribosomal RNA". It matches the Rfam family "Bacterial small subunit ribosomal RNA", at positions 29 to 507 of the family's 1533-position model. The record is from RNAcentral.
AACGAACGCUGGCGGCAUGCCUAACACAUGCAAGUCGAACGAGACCUUCGAGUCUAGUGGCGCACGGGUGCGUAACGCGUGGGAACCUGCCCUUAGGUUCGGAAUAACUCCCCGAAAGGGGUGCUAAUACCGGAUAAUGUCUUCGGACCAAAGAUUUAUCGCCUUUGGAUGGGCCCGCGUUGGAUUGGCUAGUUGGUAGGGUAAAAGCCUACCAAGGCGACGAUCCAUAGCUGGUCUGAGAGGAUGAUCAGCCACACUGGGACUGAGACACGGCCCAGACUCCUACGGGAGGCAGCAGUGGGGAAUAUUGGACAAUGGGCGAAAGCCUGAUCCAGCAAUGCCGCGUGAGUGAUGAAGGCCUUAGGGUUGUAAAGCUCUUUUACCCGGGAUGAUAAUGACAGUACCGGGAGAAUAAGCUCCGGCUAACUCCGUG